RNAcentral lists this unclassified non-coding RNA (209 nucleotides) under Phomopsis sp. KSG-S1. Its description in RNAcentral is "partial ITS2". The record is from RNAcentral. Lineage: Eukaryota; Fungi; Ascomycota; Sordariomycetes; Diaporthales; Diaporthaceae.
UCAACCCUCAAGCAUUGCUUGGUGUUGGGGCACUGCUUUUGACGAAGCAGGCCCUGAAAUCUAGUGGCGAGCUCGCCAGGACCCCGAGCGCAGUAGUUAAACCCUCGCUCUGGAAGGCCCUGGCGGUGCCCUGCCGUUAAACCCCCAACUUCUGAAAAUUUGACCUCGGAUCAGGUAGGAAUACCCGCUGAACUUAAGCAUAUCAAUAA